This 253-nucleotide ribosomal RNA is filed under the name uncultured bacterium. RNAcentral's name for it is "partial 16S ribosomal RNA". It matches the Rfam family "Bacterial small subunit ribosomal RNA", at positions 524 to 776 of the family's 1533-position model. The record is from RNAcentral.
UACGUAGGGGGCUAGCGUUGUCCGGAUUUAUUGGGCGUAAAGAGCGUGUAGGCGGCCAUGUAGGUCCGGUGUGAAAACUCGAGGCUUAACCUCGAGAUGUCAUCGGAAACCAUUUGGCUAGAGUCCGGAAGAGGAGAGUGGAAUUCCUGGUGUAGCGGUGAAAUGCGCAGAUAUCAGGAAGAACACCAAUGGCGAAAGCAGCUCUCUGGGACGGUACUGACGCUGAGGUGCGAAAGCGUGGGGAGCAAACAGG